UACGUAGGGCGCGAGCGUUGUCCGGAAUUAUUGGGCGUAAAGAGCUCGUAGGCGGUUUGUCGCGUCUGGGUGUGAAAACUCAAGGCUCAACCUUGAGCUUGCAUCGGGUACGGGGCAGACUAGAGUGUGGUAGGGGGUGACUGGAAUUCCUGGUGUAGCGGUGGAAUGCGCAGAUAGCAGGAGGAACACCGAUGGCGAAGGCAGGUCACUGGGC
This 214-nucleotide ribosomal RNA is filed under the name uncultured bacterium. RNAcentral's name for it is "partial 16S ribosomal RNA". It matches the Rfam family "Bacterial small subunit ribosomal RNA", at positions 524 to 734 of the family's 1533-position model. The record is from RNAcentral.